GCGGAGGAAAAGAAACCAACAGGGAUUGCCUUAGUAGCGGCGAGUGAAGCGGCAAAAGCUCAAAUUUGAAAUCUGGCACUUUCAGUGUCCGAGUUGUAAUUUGAAGAAGGUAUCUUUGGGUCUGGCUCUUGUCUAUGUUUCUUGGAACAGAACGUCACAGAGGGUGAGAAUCCCGUGCGAUGAGAUGUCCCAGACCUAUGUAAAGUUCCUUCGAAGAGUCGAGUUGUUUGGGAAUGCAGCUCUAAGUGGGUGGUAAAUUCCAUCUAAAGCUAAAUAUUGGCGAGAGACCGAUAGCGAACAAGUACAGUGAUGGAAAGAUGAAAAGAACUUUGAAAAGAGAGUGAAAAAGUACGUGAAAUUGUUGAAAGGGAAGGGCUUGAGAUCAGACUUGGUAUUUUGUAUGUUACUCUCUCGGGGGUGGCCUCUACAGUUUACCGGGCCAGCAUCAGUUUGAGCGGUAGGAUAAGUGCAAAGAAAUGUGGCACUGCUUCGGUAGUGUGUUAUAGUCUUUGUCGAUACUGCCAGCUUAGACUGAGGACUGCGGCUUCGGCCUAGGAUGUUGGCAUAAUGAUCUUAAGUCGCC
Molecule: ribosomal RNA, 583 nt
Filed under: Lodderomyces parapsilosis
Lineage: Eukaryota; Fungi; Ascomycota; Pichiomycetes; Serinales; Debaryomycetaceae
Description: Candida parapsilosis partial large subunit ribosomal RNA
Rfam family: Eukaryotic large subunit ribosomal RNA
Source: RNAcentral